UUUGACUCAAAGUUCUAGGUGGAAUUGGUUAAUUUAACCAAUAUUUCAUUCUAGUUAUGAAGAUGUAGUGUUUUGCUCUCUGCUUUACACUUGAUGAUAAAAAUUGAAUAAGCAGAUUUUGAUCAUUAGGAACAAUAAUAAAAUUAAUCAGCAGAUUACGACCAUUAGGUAAUCAAUUACACUGCAUGCUUUUUUUUCCCUGGAAAACCAAGUUGAUUCAGUGAUGGCUUCUGCCUCAAUGGAUCUAAACCUGAUCUUGGCAUUUGCUAGCAUCAUUGACUUUGAAAUUUUAUGGUUAGUUUGACAUUAAAGCAUCGGUUAUAUCCCUCAAAAAUUUAAUACUCUAUUUUAUUUCUUUUGGAAUUAAAAACUGGUGUAACUUAUAAAAACAGAGGC
This 396-nucleotide long non-coding RNA is filed under the name Populus tremula. RNAcentral's name for it is "long non-coding RNA (PTRE_LNC002413)". The record is from RNAcentral. Lineage: Eukaryota; Viridiplantae; Streptophyta; Magnoliopsida; Malpighiales; Salicaceae.